GCCAAUGAAUCCACUCGAAGUAUGGAUCUUCCAAAGUUUCAGGCAAACAUAGACCGUGAUCAAUUGGAAUGAGCUCCACCUGCCCAAAGCUCCCAACACCAUCAAGCUUCCUUACCAAAAGGUUCCCUGCAUGUCUAUCCGUGUUGAAAAUUCUAAUAUCUAGUAUCCCUAUGUGAUGCACCUCAGAAACAGGAAAGCUUGAGGUUCCAUGAUCACUAGCAUCGAAAUUAUGCUUUAUGAACUGCUGGAAAGAUGCAAUCUUGCUGACCAGAUUCUUGUUGUGAGUCUUGUUCCCAUUCACCCCAUCAUUGAUAUUAAAGAUCGAGU
RNAcentral lists this long non-coding RNA (327 nucleotides) under Citrus maxima (pomelo). RNAcentral's name for it is "long non-coding RNA (CMAX_LNC003173)". Lineage: Eukaryota; Viridiplantae; Streptophyta; Magnoliopsida; Sapindales; Rutaceae. The record is from RNAcentral.